Molecule: non-coding RNA, 83 nt
Organism: Paramuricea clavata
Lineage: Eukaryota; Metazoa; Cnidaria; Anthozoa; Malacalcyonacea; Plexauridae
Source: the annotation of a GenBank genome assembly
GACCGACGUAGCUCAGUUGGCAGAGCAUUCAGCAUUGGACUAGUAUCCCAAAGGUAGCGCGGGUCCUAUUCCCACCGUGGCCA